GAUGAACGCUGGCGGCAUGCCUAACACAUGCAAGUCGAACGAAAACACCGGGAGCUUUCGCCCCUGAGGUUGGCGGGGGACGGAAGCGUAACACAUGGAUAGCAUACCUAUAAGACUGGGGUGAUAACGGGGGACCAGGGCUACUAACGGAAAAUAUAUCGAACUGGGUUGGGCAAGAGUUAAAGAAGCUUUUUCGGAGUGUAAUAGACGACUACGGGGCGCAUUAGCUAGUUGGUAAGGUGACGGCUUACCAAGGCUACGAUGCUUAGACGGCCUGAGCGGGUGAUCAGCCAGACUGGAACUGAGACACGGCCCAGACUCCUACGGGAGGCAGCAGUCGGGAAUCUUCCGCAAUGGGCGAAAGCCUGAUGGAGCAACACCGCGUGAGUGAUGAAGGACUUCGGCUCGUAAAGCUCUGUUGUUAGGAAAGAAAAAAAGCGCAUUUACCCAGGCUCGUCAUGACGGUACCUAAAGAAUAAGCCCCGGCUAACUCCGUG
Molecule: ribosomal RNA, 497 nt
Filed under: uncultured bacterium
Lineage: Bacteria
Description: partial 16S ribosomal RNA
Rfam family: Bacterial small subunit ribosomal RNA
Source: RNAcentral